GGGUCAGUAGGUUGGUCGUGCCACCGGUACGUACUGGUCUCACUGAUUCCUCCUUCCUGAAGAACCGUAAUGCCAUUAAUUUGGUGUUGCGGGGAAACAGGACUGUUACCUUGAAAAAAUUAGAGUGUUUAAAGCAAGCUAACGCUUGGAUACAUUAGCAUGGAAUAAUGAAAUAGGACGAUCGAUCCUAUUUUGUUGGUUUCUAGGAUUGACGUA
This 216-nucleotide ribosomal RNA is filed under the name Glomeromycotina sp. Its description in RNAcentral is "partial small subunit ribosomal RNA". The stretch from base 40 to 216 matches the Rfam family "Eukaryotic small subunit ribosomal RNA", at positions 686 to 864 of the family's 1831-position model. Lineage: Eukaryota; Fungi; Glomeromycota. The record is from RNAcentral.